AUUAAGAGUUCUAGAACAUGACUUGUAGUACUAUUGACAAUGGUAACUUACAAUACCAUCAGACAAUUAGAUGCAUAUGCCCUAACUGCCCUGGCACUAGCUUUGUGGACGAGGCUGCCCACCAACUCUCAGGGCUCACCUGCUUCUGCCUCCAGAAUGCUGGGAUUAAUGGUCACAACUGAAAAACAAGGACUAUAAACAAGAAGUUCUCAGGAACUUGAUCAACUUAAGCAUCCACCAAUGUCUUCAGACCUUUGGUAACAUCUGUAAGCUUGGUCAGAGCACAUGGCCUCUGAGAGAUGAUGAUCCUGAAAAUUCAAUGCAUUUAGAGGGGUGAAAUCUCCCAAAUGCUCACUCAAGUUUACAACAAUAGCAUUGGCUGAGGAAGAUCAAAUCCCAAUGUCCUAUUAAAAUCAACAUGGCAAAAUCAC
Long non-coding RNA from Mesocricetus auratus (golden hamster), 431 nucleotides. RefSeq lists it as uncharacterized. The record is from RefSeq and is a predicted model, not a curated record. NCBI's taxonomy places the organism in Eukaryota, Metazoa, Chordata, Mammalia, Rodentia, Cricetidae. The transcript has 3 exons.